ACAGCAGCUACAGAGAAAUGAGGCUAUAAAGGAGCAAAAGCGAGAGAAAGAAUCAGAAAGAUUUUUUCAGAGAGCCGGAAAUAGAAGGACUAUGCGUGAAUGAGGCAGGUAGUGUGCGGUGACUAAGCAAAUAAGUGAUGCCUCUUUUCAAGCGCAGUAUAAAACAAACAACUGACAGAGAAAGAGAGAGAUAGGGAUUGAAAACAAUACCGUAACGGUUGGCCUAAUCUUUAAAAAACUCUUUUUUUCUACGAAAAUUGCAGCUUUUUACAUCUCAG
RNAcentral lists this unclassified non-coding RNA (278 nucleotides) under Hevea brasiliensis (rubber tree). Lineage: Eukaryota; Viridiplantae; Streptophyta; Magnoliopsida; Malpighiales; Euphorbiaceae. The record is from RNAcentral.